GGAGAGGUGCCAGAGUGGUUGAUCGGGGCGGUCUCGAAAACCGUUACGCGGGGUAACCCGUGUCCAGGGUUCGAACCCCUGCCUCUCCGCCA
This 92-nucleotide transfer RNA is filed under the name Fibrobacterota bacterium. Its description in RNAcentral is "Fibrobacteres bacterium (soil metagenome) tRNA-Ser". It matches the Rfam family "tRNA". From Rfam's summary of the family: Transfer RNA (tRNA) molecules are approximately 80 nucleotides in length. Their secondary structure includes four short double-helical elements and three loops (D, anti-codon, and T loops). The record is from RNAcentral. Lineage: Bacteria; Pseudomonadati; Fibrobacterota.